AGAUCACGUUGAAAUACUAGUCCCCAUACGAUCACUGAAGUUAAACAAUAUCAAGCCUGUUCAGUACCUAGGUGGGUGGCUACUUGGGAAUACUAGGUGCUGUAAG
Non-coding RNA from Acanthosepion pharaonis, 106 nucleotides. Lineage: Eukaryota; Metazoa; Mollusca; Cephalopoda; Sepiida; Sepiidae. The record is from the annotation of a GenBank genome assembly.